GCCCUCGUAGCUCAACUGCAUAGAGCAGUCCCGUCCUAAGGGAAAGGUUGCAGGUUGGAGUCCUGCCGGGGGCACCA
This 77-nucleotide transfer RNA is filed under the name Candidatus Berkelbacteria bacterium. RNAcentral's name for it is "tRNA-Arg". It matches the Rfam family "tRNA". Rfam says of the family: Transfer RNA (tRNA) molecules are approximately 80 nucleotides in length. Lineage: Bacteria; Candidatus Berkelbacteria. The record is from RNAcentral.